Molecule: ribosomal RNA, 253 nt
Filed under: uncultured bacterium
Lineage: Bacteria
Description: partial 16S ribosomal RNA
Rfam family: Bacterial small subunit ribosomal RNA
Source: RNAcentral
UACGAAGGGGGCUAGCGUUGUUCGGAAUUACUGGGCGUAAAGGGCGCGUAGGCGGUACUUCAAGUCAGGCGUGAAAGCCCCGGGCUCAACCUGGGAACCGCGCUUGAGACUGGAGAACUAGAGUUCGGGAGAGGAUGGUGGAAUUCCCAGUGUAGAGGUGAAAUGCGUAGAUAUCGAGAGGAACACCAGUGGCGAAGGCGAGUCCCUGGACAACGCCUGACACUGAGGCACGAAAGCUAGGGGAGCAAACAGG